GACGAACGCUGGCGGCGUGCUUAACACAUGCAAGUCGAACGAUGAUGCCCAGCUUGCUGGGUGGAUUAGUGGCGAACGGGUGAGUAACACGUGAGUAACCUGCCCCUGACUCUGGGAUAAGCGUUGGAAACGACGUCUAAUACUGGAUAUGACUGCCGGCCGCAUGGUCUGGUGGUGGAAAGAUUUUUUGGUUGGGGAUGGACUCGCGGCCUAUCAGCGUGUUGGUGAGGUAAUGGCUCACCAAGGCGACGACGGGUAGCCGGCCUGAGAGGGUGACCGGCACCGCUGGGACUGAGACACGGCCCAGACUCCUCCGGGAGGCAGCAGUGGGGAUUAUUGCACAAUGGGCGAAAGCCUGAUGCAGCAACGCCGCGUGAGGGAUGACGGCCUUCGGGUUGUAAACCUCUUUUAGUAGGGAAGAAGCGAAAGUGACGGUACCUGCAGAAAAAGCACCGGCUAACUACGUGCCAGCAGCCGCAGUAA
This 483-nucleotide ribosomal RNA is filed under the name uncultured bacterium. RNAcentral describes it as "partial 16S ribosomal RNA". It matches the Rfam family "Bacterial small subunit ribosomal RNA", at positions 28 to 523 of the family's 1533-position model. The record is from RNAcentral.